Molecule: long non-coding RNA, 18838 nt
Filed under: Homo sapiens (human)
Lineage: Eukaryota; Metazoa; Chordata; Mammalia; Primates; Hominidae
Description: non-protein coding LINC00954:13
Rfam family: Metazoan signal recognition particle RNA (bases 17004-17152)
Source: RNAcentral
CUUCUUUCUGCUCCUGUCGCCAUGGCCCCGGCCUCGGCGCUCAAGCGACCCUCUCGCUCCGCCCAGGCUUCGUGGAGAGCAGCUGCCCCGCCGGCAUCUUCCGGAUGAGGCUCUCUAGACAACAAAGCCUUCUACGCGGAAGUUACUGACCCCUGGAUGCCCAGCUGCCGCACCUCCCGUGGCCCCACGCUGUGGCUACGUGUUGUCUGAAGACGCCUGGGGAAACCUUCAGGGCCUCUGUACUGGCCUGUCAUGUGGUCAACCAGGAUAAUAGAUGGUUUUCCCUCAGUGUGAACAUCGAGGUGUCUGGGUUCAUGGAAGCUGGUGAAGAAACCACCUACAACUAUACCAUGUCCUGUCCCUAUUUCACAUGGGCCUCGAGGAAGAUUCUCUGAAGGGAACUACAUGGAGAUCUCCUUGAUUGCACGGUCAACCCCGCUCCUGUCUGUCAGGCUCAGGAACCACUUACAAGCUAUGGCAGGUGAUGUUCCAGCAUCCCACAGGGAGGAUUAUGCUGGUGAGCCACAUGGCCAAGCAGGACUAUGGCUUCAACAGCUCUGGGGCCUGCAUGUUCCUGCAUUAGCCCUACUCCAGCAAUGAGGCUGAAGUUACCAGAGUGACAUCAUGGUAUCUGGUGCAAGCUAUAGCAUCCACCUAUUCUUGGAGCACACGUGGUCAGACACUGAUUGGCAUGUGACCAAGUUGAUGGUGGUCAAAACAGAACUCCUUUCAUGCCCACAAGCUUCAGUAUUACUAUGUUCCCUGCCACUUCCGUUGAAGUUUUGCAGGAUUGGGAUGAUCCUUUGGUGUGAACGAAGCCCCAAAGAGGACCACGUGGAGAGUGCCUGACUGUUCCUGUGAUGUCUUCUAGUACAUGAACAGGAAUGAAACCCACUAUGUCCUCCAUGUGAACUACAUGCUGAGCGUGGGUCCAGAUGGGAAACCAUUCUCCUACCCUGCAGAAAUGGUAUAUAGUUUCAAGGAUGUGGGUAAGUACACCAAGUGAGGUGCUGGUCCUGGACUCAUGGAUGGUCUUGGUACCCAACAAGUUACACUGGCUCUGUCCAAACAACAGCUGUGGAAGCCCCUCCCAUGGGAGGGGGGUCCCACUGGGGCUACACAGAAGUAACUCCUCACAAGUGGCUUGUCUGCAUCCUGGGAUUGGAAACCCAGUAUAGAAGCAGCUGUUGGCAGACUCAUGAAGUAAUACAGAGAAUGGGUGGCUGCUCAUACAAUCAGCAGUAAGACUUCACUUAAAUCAUGCCAGGAAUGACAUGAACAGGACUCAACGUACCCCAUACAGUCUUCCCUCCCAGGUGCCACCACCCCUGAAAUAUUAACCUUGGUAGACUUCUCCUGUCAAGGUCACAGUAAGGGUAGCCAGUGGUAUCAAGACCUUGGUAUAAAUCAGACAUGGCCUUCUUCCCAGCAAGGUCAUUAGGUACCCAAUGUAGAGAUAGCAGGGAAAGGAUAUAAAAACAGGAAAGUUCCAGGUGAGUCAUCUUUUGCCCCUUGACUAGGCCUGCCUAUAGGUUUGACAGCUCCAGGAAGUAAGAAAACAGGUAUAUUGUCUUCCUUCCUAUAGCUCUGCUAGGUGUCAUCCUCUUAAGGUCACUAGGAUUCUAGUGUUGAAGGCUUGCUGCCACACAGAUGGCACUGUUCUAUCCUCAAAGCAUUUUCAGGGUGCCAUCUAAUGGGUCUGAAUCCUGGUUCCAUUGCAAACUUUAAGCAAGGAACUCAGCAUUAUCCAAUCCCCAUUUUCUCCAACUACUGGCCCCCUCUAAGGAGGCUGAAGAGUGAAAGCAUGUUGAACACCAAGAUGCUCUCCAAAGAUGGAGUCCUUCUCUUCUGAGCCCCACAGCUCUGCAAGAUGGGUAAAACUCAAGGUGGCAUUAGGCUCUGAGAGGAGCUCCAUCACACAGCUGGCAUAGUAUGGAGCUGGACCAGAGCCCAAAUCCCCUAUCUCCCCACUGUCCUAACCAAAAGCUUACACUUCAGAACCCAAGGCCGUGAACACAGACCUCACACAGCUGUAACCUGAGAAACUGCCAUUGCUGAUCUAGUGCCAGAACCACUUCCCCAUCCCUGGCUUUCCUGCUGACUUCCCACGAGAUAAGACUUUUCUUUAAAAAGGGGGCCUUCUCAGCCACACGCAGUGGAUCACACUGUAAUCUCAGCACUUUGGGAGGCCGAGGCGGGUGGAUCACUUGAGGCCAGGAGUUCGAGAUCAGCCUGGCCAACAUGGUGAAACCCCAUCUCUACUAAAAAUACCAAAAAAAAAAAAAAAAAAAAAAAAAAAAGCAGGGCAUGGUGGCAUGUACCUGUAAUCACAGCUACCCAGGAGGCACAAGAAUUGCUUGAACCCAAGAUGCAGAGGUUGCAGUGAGCCUGUUUGUACCCCUGCACUCCAGCCUGGGUGACACAGUGAAACCCUGUCUCAAAAAAAAAAAAAGGAGCCUUUGGCCAGGCACAGUGGCUCACACCUGUAAUCCCAGCACUUUGGGAGGCUGAGGCGGGUGGAUCACCUGAGGUCAGGAGUUUGAAACCAGCCUGGCCAAUAUGGUGAAACCCUGUCUCUACUAAAAAUACAAAAAUUAGACAGGCUUGGUGGCAUGCGUCUGAAGUCCCAGCUAUUCAGGAGGCUGAGGCGGGAGAGCCUCUUGAACCCUGGAGGUGGAGGUUGCAGUGAGCCGAGAUCACGCAAUUGCACUCCAGCCUGGGCAAUAAGAGUGAAACUGUCUCAAAAAAAAAAAAGAAAAGAAAAGCCUUCUUGGGCUGACCAAGGUGGAUCAUGCCUAUAGUCCCAGCACUUUGGGAGGCCUGGGUGGAAGGAUUGCUUGAGUUCAGAGGUUCAAGACCAGCCUGGGCAACAUAAUGGGACCCCGUCUCUACAAAAAAUUUAAAAAUUACCAUGGCAUGCUGAUACAUGCCUGUAGUCCCAUCUACUCGUGAGGCUGAGGCGGGAGGAUCACUUGAGCCCAGUAGAUGGAGGCUGCAGGUAGCCAUGAUUGUGCCACUGCACUCCAGCCUGGGCAAGAGUGAGACGCUGAAUCAAAAAUAAAAGGCAUCUCACUUAAGGGCCUUCACACUAGGGCUCCAGUGGAAAAGUAAAAGGGCCAAAGGGGAGUGAUGAGAAAUGGAUGCUUGGGAGAGAAUAGGCCUCCAACAAGAUUCUUCAGUCUUGGUAUGCCAAGGCUGGACAAUAAGGAGAAUCGGACCCCAACCUGAGUCCCAUUUACCCAUUGUGUACUUUUCACAGAAAUUCCCUAGGCCAUUGGCACCUGUGACAGUGAGAACCUAUACUUGGCCAUCCCAGUAACUGACCCGCUCUCCUGUUGGGAGCUCUACAUGGGACACUGGCACCUGAGCCGUAGGCCAGGACCCCUUGACAUAGUCCUCAUGACAGAUAACUCCACCCAUCUGCUAUUGGCAGUGCAACUCUUUUCUCCAGGGGCGCUGUAUGAGGGGGUCCCCCGAGGGCUUAAGCUGGUUGACGGGCUAAGGAGGGUGGAGAGAAGUUGUGCAGCCACUGUCCUGGGCCAUCAGUCACAGCGGUGUGUCACUUCAGACACAAGGAAGUGCCUGGAUGGUCUUGGUGCCCAACAAGUUGCAUUGGCUCUGUCCAAACAGCGGCUGUGGAAGCCCCUCCCAGGCCAGGGAUGCGGGCUUGAGCAAUCCCUGUCCAGUGUUCUCGGGGAGCAGAAUGUAUGGUAUCUAAUACAGUCUACAACAGCAUUUGUGAGGAAUGGCCUGUGUUUGGGUGCAUGUCAUGCCAUUAAAAUCCCUAGAACUAGAAAGAAGUGGCUUCCAGAUCCCAGGCCCCCUGGGCGACUCUCAGCAUCCUGGGCCCCACAGGCCUCAGCUGCCAGAUCUGCCCCAAUGGCCAGGACUGCGUGGCAUCUGUUUCUGAUGAAACUGAACCCAGCUGUGGGGUGGGUCCCAGGAUCUCUCCCUCCAGAGGAUUUGCGCCCAGCUUGAGGUGGCCCCAAAGAAAACUGACAUGCUAGAGACUCCAGAAACCUUCUCCAUGGAUUUACCCCAUUGGGAGAGAAAAGGCCUCCAACAAGACUCUUCAGUCUUGCUAUGUCAAGGCUGGACAAUAAGGAGAAUCGGACCCCAACCUGAGUCCCAUUUACCCAUCCUGUACUUUUCACAGGACUUCCCCAGGCCAUUGGCACCUGUGACAGUGAGAACCUAUACUUGGCCACCCCAGUAACUGACCUGCUCUCCUGUUGGAGCUCUACAUGGGACACCAGCUCCCAUGCAUUUAUCCCUUUUCAGACCUCACUGGUGAGAAGCUGGGCUUCUGGGUCCCCAUGCUGCUUCAUCCCACCUCCCAACCCUGUCUUCAGGCCCACUGCUGAUCCCAGUCUAGAACCACAGCACCGCCCCCAUCCUGCAUGAAGAAGGCCUUGUGCAUCUGCCUUGGUGAGAUCUUUCCAGGCUGACUGGUCUGUACUCCCUGGGGAGAUGAUCGAGACCAGCUCACACUGCUGUGUGUCACAUCCAUACCUUCUAUGGGAAAACUAACCCCCCUCGCCUCCUAUGUGAAGUCUCAGGCUUCACAGCCCAUUUCAAAUGCUGUUUCUCCUAUAACCACAUAGCCUGCCAACCACUGGAUCUCCUUUCUGGUUCCUCCCUCUCCCCCCAACUUUUUCCUUUUGAACUCUCAUAAUCAGAGCCAUAACCAUUUUCUGCCUUGCACUAGUUACUUGUCCUUGACUGUCUUUAUUUUCCCUUCUGAGCUGACUUUCUUGAAGGCAGGGCCCCCAACCUGAUCACCAUGCCUCAGAUAGUAUCCAGGUUUUGCCUUCAGCCCCUCAAAUAAUACAUAUAAAAAUGAACAAAUUCCAAUAUUUAUCCACAACCUACUUGAUGGCCUAAAAAUGCAUUUUAAAUGGGUGUGUCUGAGGUAACUUGUGAAAAGCCCUGGGGUCAGGAGCCAAGUCCUACCUCAAGGAGCAGCAUAAAGGCUUAGCCCAGCCUCGUCCAAGGACUGCCAGGUAAAAUAGAGAACAGACUUUGAUCAAAAUAUGGUUGGAAACAGGAUGGUUGUGAGAACUAUGGUUGUGUUCCUAGUGUGUUUCCCUAGUGGGACUGUGGCCAUCUCUUCCAUGAUGGCCACAGACCCUUCCAUUGACAUGUGCAAGGCCACACUGAAGGAUUGCACCUGCAAGCCAACAGAGUCUAGCAGCAACCAAACCUUCUUCUGACUUGACGUCACCAGCCGUGGUACCUCAGUGAGGGUGAGUAAGGCAAAAGGGCCACCUGCUCCUGCCAGGCCUUAGCAUACCAUCUAAGCUUUUUCUUCUCAGUCCUGUGGUAUUGUUCCAUUUUCACACUGCUGAUAAAGACAUACCUGAGACUGGGCAAUUUACAAAAGAAAAAGGGUUAAUGGACUGACAGUUCCACAUGGCUGGGGAGGCCUCAUGAUCAUGUCAGAAGGUGAAAGGCAUGUCUCACAUGGCAGCAGAUGAGAAGAGAAGACUUGUGCAGGGAAACUCCCCUUUAAAAAACCAUCAGAUCUCAUGAGACUUAUUCACUAUCACAAGAAAAGCACAGGAAAGACCUGCCCCCAUGAUUCAAUUACCUCCCACUGGGUUCCUUCUACAACAUGUGGGAAUUGUGAGAGCUACAAUUCAAGAUGACAUUUGGGUGGAGACACAGCCAAACCGUAUCACCCAUGUUCUCCAUAUGCUCUAAAAUCUUGGGUUAUGUAGUUUGAAGGUGACUAUAUUAUAUAUGAAAAGGGAAUCAUGUAUGAGAAGGAACCCUUGCUAUGAAGGGCUGGCCCACAAUUACAAGAUAUCCAGACUACAGGUGAGAUGGCCACUGUAUGAAUGGAAGUCAGCUGUGCCCCUGAGCUUCAUCUCACUGUUGUCCCCACCCCUGUCCUCAGGAAAUUCCAGCUGACUAGGGAAGAGAAUGCCAGUGUAUAGUUUGCAGCAGGAGGAACUCAAAACAUCAGUGACAGUGCCCCAAAAUGCUUCAGUUUCCAUGUUCUCUUUUUCAUUUUUUAGGUCCUAUUUUACUUCCUUACCUAAUACUUAUUAUAUUGGAGGUAUGAUGUAAAUUGGAGUAAUACUGACAGACCUUCUUCUUUGAUAGACUAAGCAGUGUUGCUAGAAACAAAUCAUUGCAUAACUAAAUCAUGAUCCACCAUGCACAUAGCCCACCAACCAAUGGAGAAGACCAGCAGAACAGAUAGUAGGCUAUCUCUUCCAGCCUCAAGCCCCAAUGCUGUCAUUCCUAAGUUGAGACGUUGAAGUCUCUUUGCCUCCCUGGUACAGAGUCUGUUUGCCUUGUCUUGUCCAUGAACCAGAGUUCCUUCAAGUCCUUUCUUGCUCUGCAGUUCUACAAACCAGUGAGCCUGCUCUUGCCUCCAUGCUUGUCCUAGGCUGAUGCUGCUCUGCUACUACUCAGUUAAAGAAACAUUGGCCCAAGAGGACAGGCACAAGGACAGGUGGAAGAAGAAAGCUGUCCUGCCACCAGGAGAUGGCAUGGUGGUAUGGCAGUCCCAGGUCCGAGGUCAAGGAGUGGCUGGGGAACAGAGGGAGAACUUUGAGUAUUUCUGCCUGGGUGCCCUCAGCUUGACAUUCUCUCAUUCAGCAGGGCCUCAGAGAGAGCAGACAGACACUGGAGAUCCAGGCAAGAGUAGCUCAAGCUGCAAAAAAGAGAAUAACCUGCUAGAGGUAGACUUUUACCCUGUCUCCCAGGGUGAGAAGGUCCAAUACCCCUCAUUGGUCAAGAAGCUGGUGAAGUUUGUGGCACCCAGAUUCAAAGAGGUGUAUCUGUACCACCUGACCCAAUCCUGCCUACACUUGGACCCUGACGGGCAUUGUGGUGGCCAGUACUAUCCAGAGGAGAGAGAAGGAGGCCAGAAGAGAGCACUUGACCAUCUGGCUCUGGUUCCAGUGACUCCAGGACUUAUAUGCCCACAAGCCAAAAGAAGAUCAAGAUCUGAGUGGGAACUGUGGAAAGCAUGUCAUGCGAGCCCCUGCCGCCCUUGAAACUCUGCGUUCCUCCUCCUCAAAGAACAGUGCCUGAAGGUCCUGGCUGUGGCCCUGGCUGGCCAUCUUGCUUCCUGGUCACGGUGGUGGCCACUGUGCUGGUCCUGUCCAAGAUGACCUGUACAUCAUUCCAUGAAUGACACGUGACAACAGCUUCCCAGUGUAAUAAGCACAUUUAACCCAGCACUUGUCAGCCCCACUGUUCUGUUGGAAGUGUUCUAUCUCACUGAUCUUGCCUCUCCUAAAGCAAGGGACAACUCCUGGCACUCCGCUGCAGAGGCCCUUGAAGCCUGUUGGAAUUUUAGUGAAAUGAGAUGCCUGGCUUAAGCCAUGUUGCCUGGCUUCUCAAGUACCAGCGGACAUAUUACUAGCAAGGAAGAAGGCUAGCAGCAAGAAUGGUUAUUGCAUCCUAGAGGCAUUUAGUGGAGGAGAAAACUGCCCUGGUACCGCCAUAGCCCUAAGUGCUGCCCAGAGUUCUGAGCUCUCGAUGAGCACUUGGAACACGUCUGCCUGCAGCCUCCCUACACUUUUUUAUGACUUGUCCUACUUGUCAAGCCCAGCUUGUCCCACUUCUCCACAUGAGUCUUCCAGUGACAUCUUUGUGACCAUCUCCACCCCCUGGGUAAAUGCUCCACGCUGGGAGUCCACAAAACACAGUCUGACUUAGAGAUUCUCUGGCAUGACUCUCUUCCCCACUGUGUACACUGACUGCCUUAGAUGUAGGCCUCUUGUUUGGGGCCCUUCCUGGCCAGACCCUGAAGCAGCCUCUGAGGAGGGUGGUAAGAAUGGUUCCCUAGAGCCCAGUUACAGAGUCUGCCUCCUUUCCAGAUCAUGCUGUAAUGGACUGAGAUCUCAACUCAGCCCACACUCUUUCCUGGCCUACAUAGCCGUCUCAGAAGGGCAAUGUUUCUCGCUGUUAAAGCGGGUGGUCCCUCUUGCUAACCUAGCUGAGCAUCAGGUACUGGUUAGCUGUAAGGGCUGGGAAGUGGGGGGUGUACCCAUUGGCCUUGGUGAUGAAGACAGCCAGGUAUCCAAGUCCCAGCCGGGACUCCUGCUGGGCCAUAAAGGCUUCAAUAUGCUGGCUUCUCCCCAUUGAGGACCUCAGGCCCCAGUUCAUUAUCAGGAUUUUAGAAAUACCAAGAACAUCAAAAGAACAGAAAAGAGGCCCUUAAGGGACUCCUAAUAAGAUAGAAUUUGCAUGUCCUCAUUGGACUAGAACCUGAACUGCUUUAAAAAGCAAAAGGCCCUUGGUACAAUCUGAUGGAUGUGACUGUACAGAGAAGAGGAAACACCUCUGAGGGGAGUGAGAGGCCUUGGUAAGGAAGUUGCAAUCUGGAGCCACCUGGGCAGGUCAGAGCUCUAUAAGCAGGAGAAGCCAAGGGCAUAACACACAGUAGUGCAGGUGUCAGCCAGGAAUCAAGGCUAUGACAGCUGGAGUCCCGGGCCAAGAACUACAGGGGGAAGGAGGAGAAAUGCUUGUUCCCCCAACUCCUAUCUCCUGCCAUGGGGGUGGACUUCUACUAGCUAUGACAUUCCUACCAUCUCUCUGCCUCUUCCCUCUCUCUUUUCUCUCUGCCCCACCCUGGGACACGGUGACUUCCCUGAUGCUAGGGGGAGGGGAUGGUGUGGGUUAAAAAAAAAAAAACAAGCUGCAUAGCUCAGCCCCUUCCUCUCUCCCCUCACUCUCCUGGGGGUGCCUGCUUUCAGAGUCUGUGCAGCUCUUGUCUCCUUCUUACCAUAACCCUACCUGGGCGGCAGCAGCCGCCGCCCACACCCUCCCCUACCCCCAUGGCACUGCCUGCCACAUCCAGGACCAUUUCCGAAUUCUGAGGCUCUGUUGUCGGAGUGUCCCCUCUAAGCUGCAUCCUGCAACCCAGUCCUAUUCCCAGAGAAGCCCAACAUCCCCUCUGGAUCUGCCUGUCUGCAUUACCGUUUGGUUCAAAACCCAGUGCUGGUUACUGGGCCUCUCAGGACACCAGGGAGGCUGGGCUGGGGAGGACUGGUGGGCGAGCUGUCCCCUCCACAUUCUGCCAAUGCCUGGGACGUGAAACUCAUUCCUGUUUCCAUGAGACUCGUAUCCUUAAUGUCCCUUUUGACUUCAGCUAAUUCUGAGUAAGUUUUUGACCCUCGCACCUAAAUUUGGCCCAAGGCAGAAACAGCGGGGAUUGGCUUCUCUGACGGCUGAGUCACUUGUCUUCCUGUCUUCUCCCUCAUAUUCCACUUCUUGUGGGCGUGAAUUAAAGUAGAACCAGGCAGGCGACACUCUCCUGUUGGUGACCAGCGUUCCACAGUAAAAUGGGGUGUGACAGCAGCUGGCAGAGCAGCAGCCUGCCCGGGGCUGUGGGCCACAUCCCCCCUCCACCCCAACCAAGCAGCCUGCCCUGCCCUGGUGCCAGGCGCCAAUCGGCUGAGCAAAAUAGGCUGAACUCAGGCCCUGCGAGGCCAGGACGGCGCCUAUCAAGAACUCCUGUUCCCUCCAGGGCAAGAAGAGGGAGGAGCGAGGCUUGCCCUGAGCGGAGGGGCUUCAAAACUGAGCCCUGGGCAAAAUGGGGCAAGUUGGUCACCCUAGAGGGAGCUUAGGUUUAAGGAAAAGAAUCUGGGACCUUCUAGCUUUGACUCCAGUCUAACAUAACUCUCUGAUUGUCCCUUUAGUAAAAUAGAAAUAAUGUCAGUCUUGAAAGAAUGUCAUGAGGCUUUCAUGAGGACACAUGGAAAUGGCAGACAUUUGUCUUGCUGGAAGGUUCUCCCGUUUCCCCGCCCCUAUUCCAGGUAGGUUGCUGUCCUCAGUACCUGAGGUUUUAUGUGGAAUCACCAUUCUCCUUCCCAUGAUUGUAAGUCAGAUUAUAAGCAGCAUUUGAGUAGAUGGAAAUGUGAUUAGGUCUAUGUCCCUCAUCCCAACAUUCUUUAUGCCAGCUUUCAUUCCCACAGCUCCAGCUGGAGACAUGCACCCACAACUUAGCAGUGCCUUGGGGUGUCCUGUCUACUGCAGGACGUCUUCAGUGCCCAUAACGUUCUUCUCCAAAUUAGGUUUCUGAGCCUUUGCAUAUUACAUCACAGGGCUGGGCCCAUGGGACUGCAAUCCGGGAGGAUGGUCCUAGGCACAAAAUUGAAUCUUGAGAUAGGUCUAAGGUUUGCCAUCAGGAUUAAUGAAAAUAAGUGUACACCGGGGCAUGCUUCACUAACUGGAAGUCACUAUUAUUAAACUGAGAACCGGAAGGGCUAGAUCUGGUCAUAAUUCUGUUAACCAACUGCAUAACCUUUAAGCCGGAACCUUUACCUGUAAAAUAAAGGAGUAGAUGAUUUCUCCAGUUCCUUCCCGCUCAAGUGUCCUAUGACUGAUUAAAAUUAUGUGUCCAUUAAGCAGCUCAAAAGGAAUUAUGUCUGGCUAUCUGAAAGCUCACAGCCAGCCAAGGAGGAAGUGCACUAAAGGCGAGGCCCGGCUGCUCCCCAGCCCAGCACUGCUCGCUGCUGUGUUAAUUGACAAUGAUGGAACAAAGCACAUUUUAUGAGAGUUCAUGAGUAGGAAGUCCAAGGAGCCUAUACAUUAGUCACGUCUGAAAAUCUUCCUUGCUGGUCCUGCAAGCCAGAGGAGCUGGCCACUGCCACUUACCCAGAUGAAGGACAUGUCGAUCCAGAAAAGGGAACAGUUAGCCAACAUUGCUUUAUUUGCUCAAUCGUAAUAACUUUUUCCAGGGAGAAAACCCACGUAAAACUAUUGGAGACAGAAUUCUGGAUCAAGUCAGGCCACAACAUAAAAUUACAUGGUAACAAUGGUCUCCAAUUUGAGAGAAGCAGCAUAAUGCACCCCAACCUCCCACAAAAACCUCAAACCCUUGACUCGGGAAAACAAGAAGGUCAUCUUCCAUCGGCCCUUUCCUCCACUGUCCUUCUCCCCAGACUCCCUUGUGCUUGUAUAGGGCAGGGAGGGGUAAGGAAAACAGAUCAGUUGCCCUGGGACGUCAAUCACCCUGUUGAAACUGGUCUGAGUGCCAGACAGACAACCAACAUGGCUCCUGCCUUCAGGGUCCACAUCUUGAAGAGGGAGAGGAACACAGGAAAUGGAAAAGCACCCUGGAAUUAGAUGCUGGGCCAGAUGAACUGGAAGUAGUUCUUAAACUUGAGUGUGCCUCAGACUCCCCAGGGGCCUUGUUAAAACACAGAUGGCUAGACCCUACCCCCAGGGAGCUAGAUUCACUUGGCUUGGGGUAGGGCUGAUAUUUUGCAUUUCUAACAUGGUCCUAGGUGCUGCUGGUCCAUAGACCAUGUGCUGAGAACCAGUACUACAGACAGUGCUCCCCAUACUUUAGUGUGCGUAUGAACCGCCUGGGGGCCUGGGUAAAGUGUGAGCUCUGAUUCAGCAGGUCUGGUACAGGGCUAGGGAUCUGCAUUUCUAACAAGCUCCCAGGUGAUGCCAAUGCUGCCGGUCUGUGGUCCCCAUUCAGUAGCAAGGGUGCUCCAUCUAGACCAGAGUGUGAUGGAAGUUAGAGAAUGAGAUGAGUUUGGGUUGAUAUUGGCAGGGAAGGUUUAAUGGUAGUUACUGGGACUUGGGCUGGUCCCAGAAGAAUGAGCAGGAUUUAAAUAAAUGAAAAGGCUGUAUUCUGGGAGAGAAAUUUGAACACAGACAGGGCGGUGGGAUUGAGAAUAGCAAGGGUAGAGGAGUGGGCACUGGCCAUUGUCACAGAUGAGUGACACACCGAGGCUUGGGGCCCUGCAUGCAGGCGCCUUGCUCCAUCUGCCUCCACACCACCCUCCCCAAGCAAGAAGCUGGUGCAGUUCCAGUAAGUCUACUGGCAGCCAGUCUUCAUAAUGGAAAUAAUUAUUGUUCUGUGAGUCCCAGACUGACAGCUCCCAAUCCUGCCUGCUCAGCCAACUGGGUUAUUUUUUCACCUGGCUUGUUAGCAAUGGUUUGUUGUUUGGCAGCAUGAAGUGACUCCCACUUUUCCUUUCCAAUCUCAAGUCAGAGAAACCUCAGUUCUCCGAGAGUUGAAUGUCUCGAAGCCACACGGGGGUGGUUAUGGAUUUCUCAGCAGGCAGCCAGGGCAACCAGCAUGUUCUAUAUGGUGCUCAGUCAUGGGUUCCUCUCCUGAUCCAGUGAGGGUCAUGAUCAGAUAAAGGAGUAAUAGCCCCUUCUUUCCCACACCCACCCCCCAACCUUGGAAGUCUUCCGUUUUCAGGUUUGUUCUAACAAAAGGCUCACCUUUUCUUCAAUAGAGCUGCAUGUGUAGGUGCAGAAACAUGCGAGCUCAUGUGCAAAAGGCCUGUCAUUUGAAAAUGAAACUACUAUUUAUUGGGUUUCCCAGCAGUGCUGUAACGAGGCACUACAAACUGAGUGGCUUAUAACAACAGAAAUUUAUUUUCUCACAGUCCUGGAGACUGGGGAGUCCAAAAUCAAGGUGUUGGCAAGGGCAUGCUCCCUCUGAAGCCUCUAGGGCAUGGACCUCACCCCUGGGGAGCUGGAAACCCUUCCUUGCUUUUUCCAGUUUCGGGUAUCCCUGGGUGUUCCUUGGCUUGUGGCAGAACCACUCCAGUCUCCACCUCUGUCUUCACAAGCCGUUCUCCCCAGUGUCUGUGUCCAAAUUUCCUUUUCCUUGUAAGGACAUCAGUCACACAAGGUAUCUGUAAGGACCCACCCUACUCCACCUGCAUCUUCUUAACUAAUUAGAUCUGUCAUAACUUUAUUCCCAAAUAAGGUCACAUUCUGAGGUACUGGUAGUUAAAACUCCAACAUAUCUUUUUGGGGGGCCCAAUUCAACUCCUAACAGGUAACUUUAUAGUUUAUAACAUUAUAUUACCUGCUGAAUUUGACCUUGUCUUUUAGAGGGGCUUUUUCCUCUAAACUAGAAUAGUGACCUGUUUUAAAUAAAAUCGAUGCUGAACUAUAAAUCAGGCCCUAUUCUCAAGGUCAGCUGAGAAGGGCUCAAACACUUAUCCACCCCAUACCUAUUAGCCAGUGAUGAAUCUGUAAGCUCUAAAUAGCAAGUUACUGAGCAGAUUAUGAUAAUGAAUUCACUUAUCCAUUCAACACAUGUAAGGCCCUUCUGCAUGCCAGGCCGUGGUGCUGAGGACACAACAGUAAACAAAAGAGACAAAAGUCCCUGCCCUCUCAGAGCUUGCCUUCCAGUGUGGGAAAGACAAAAUAAAUAAGAACAUGGUUUGGGUAAACAGAAAAAAGAUGAGUAUGAUGAGGAUUUGCUAUUUUAAAGAGAGCGGUCAGAGAAGGGCCAGGAUAAGGCCAUGGGGUAAGGCAGGGAGAAAACAGCACAUGUAAGUUCCUCAACGUGAGUCUUUGUGAAGACUCUGCUUCUCACUGAGAGAAGCCAUGGCACACUCCCAAACCUUCACUCUGGUGGCUGUGUUGAAACUGACUUUGGAGGUAAAACUGACAAAGCAGGAUACUUGCAAUACAGAGGGGCUGAUGUCUUGGCUUUGGGUGGUAGCGGAUGAGAUGAAAAUUGCUGGAAUCGGGAUCUGUUUCAAGGUAGGAACCCACAGUGUUUGCCGCUGGGGAGCACUGGGACCAAGUCUGGCAUGAGAGGCGGGACAGUACAGCUGCCAUUAGCUGUGCUGGGGGAGGACCAGGAACUCCGUUUGGGAUGCUUUAAGUUUGCACAACAUCAACUCUGUGAUCUUAAAAAGAGCUUUCCAAUAAAGUGGAAAUAGGUUCAAAUAACGUGGUGCCAAAAGAAUACAUUCAAAGGUAUUCUUGGUACACAGGAGUCAAAAUUGCCUAGAGGGAAAAGAGGCACUCAGGUGGUGAACACAACUAAUAGUAAUUUUUUCAAGAGGUGACUAGCAGCCAUAGGAAAGGGAGCCUUUUAACCCUUUGUUUCUAGUUAUUCUGGCUAAAAAUGGUUAGCUGUAGAGAAAAAUAUGAAAGGCGGGGGGUCUUUUUAUUUAUACCUCCUGUACUGUUUUAAUUUUUAUUACCAUAGCCAUGUAUUAAUUGUAUAUCAAGAAAUUGGCAAGCACUUUUCAUGCGGCUUUAAAAAUUAUGUGUCAAAGCAGAAUAAGGUAGACUUCUAAGUUCUUACACAAAAGAAUGUUCAAAAUAAUAAGUGAUUUAAGUUACCAAAUAAUAUGUAUACCAUAAUUCUGCGCAUGUAUCUGCAUACCUGUGCCCAUGUAUUUGUACAAAGAAAAAGGCCUAGAAGGAUAGACAGGAACUGCUUUUUACCUUAUAUUCUGCAGGUUUGCCACUUUUAAAAGGAGUACUUUUUGCAUGUGUUUAAAUUGAAUGUGAUGGCCUUCCCUCUACUUCGCUUCAGCCAGAGCUCAAGCCUCCACACACUCCAAACAAGAAUUGUUGAAUAGUUUAAAGAAAUAGGCGGGCUGGGCACGGUAGCUCACGCCUGUAAUCCCAGCACUUUGGAAGGACGAGGCAGGCAGAUCAUGAGGUCAGGAGUUUGAGACCAGCCUGACCAACGUGGUGAAACCCGGUAUCUACUAAAAAUACAAAAAUGAGUUGGGCUUGGUGGCACAUGCCUGUAAUCCCAGCUACUCAGGAGGCUGAGGCAGGAGAAUCCCUUGAAACCCAGGAGGUGGAGGUUGCAGUGAGCUGAGAUCACGCCACUGCACUCUAGCCUGGGCAACAGAGCGAGACUCUGUCUCAAAAAAAAAAAAUAAAUAAGCAACAGAAAAAAAAACUGAAGCUUUUCAGUCCCCCUUGGCUCUUAUUCCUGCUAGAAAUAAUGUGACUAUGUAAUAAUAAAUUCUACUUAAGGGUUGUAUCAGUCUGUUUUCACACUGCUAUAAGGAACUGCCCCAGUCUGGGUAAUUUAUAAAGGAAACAGGUUUAAUUGACUCACAGUUCAGCAUGGGUGGGAAGGCCACAGGAAACUUGCAAUCACGGCAAAAGGGGAAGCAAGGCACCUUCCUCACAAGGCAGUAGGAAGAAUGACAGAAGGAGGAACUUGCCAAACCCUUAAAAACCAUCAGAUCUCGUGAGAAUUCACUCACUAUCACGAGAACAGCAUCGGGGAAACAGCUCCAUGAUUCAAUUACCUCCACCUGGUCUCUCCCUUGACAUGUGGGGAUUAUGGGGAUUACAAUUCAAGAUGAGAUUUUGGGUGGGGACACAGCCAAACCAUACCAAGGGUUUUUUGUUGUUUCUUCAGUAGUAGGGCCAAAAUGUUUUUUGAAGUUAAGCACGAUUCUUAUAAGAAUAUAGAAUGAAAAUGUGAAAAAUGUUUAACUCAUUAAUAGAGAACCGCCAGAGUGGUAAAAGAGCAUUAGAAUAACUGAGUACUUAUGGUCCAUGAAGAAAGAAUUUGGGAAUAAAGUUGCUAGGUUAAAUACAAAACUGGUUAACGUUCUUCAGGGCAAUACAGCCAAAACUUUUGGGGUUAUCUUUUCUACCAGAGUUCAUUUGCAUCUCCUCUGGACAAAAAUCUGCAAGUUACAUGCAACCUCCCAGAGUCUGGGCCCUAAUCAAGAGUAAAUAGAAAAUCAAAGAAAGGCACACACAUGGCUCCCCAAAAGAAUUAAACAGUCGUUGAGUGGGUCUGCUGGUAUGAUAUUGAAAUGCCAUGCAAAUCCUUUUGCCUUAUUUCUACGUAUUGGAUGCUUUUUUUGACAUAAGAUAAAAAUUUACAUAUUGGCAGCUGUAGCUAUCUAGUUUCCAAAUGGAGUUUGCUCUUAAAAUUAAUCUGCUUUUCACCAUCUUUUGUGUCUGUUUUUAAUAAGAAAAAUGACCACCAAGCAAUGUGGGCAUUGCAAUAACAUUCCAUUAUUUAAAAACAUACUUUAAUAUUAUUCUGAUACUCACUUUGCUGGGUACUAAAACAUUUUAUGAGCAAUUUAAAUUUUUUAUCAGGACCAAAAAAAAAAAAAAAAGUCCACAUAUCUGCUGUGAGUUGAUGCCAACAGCAAAAACAUUGAUACUCAUUGCAGUUUCAAAUAUUUAUAUGGAUUUUGGACACAACCUUGCACAAGUUACUCAAUUUCUUAGCUUCAUCCUCUAUGCAGAAUAAGACCUUCACUAAACUGCUAUAUUUAUGAUUUUGUGAUGACACAUAUAAACCUGGGAUUACACUGUUGUGUUCCUAUUUUACUUUUAUAUCCACAUUCAUAAUUUCAGUUUCGGGGCUUCCUUACAGGUUGCUUGUUUUAUAAUUUGUCUUGCUACAUGACGUGUUCUUUUACCUUCUUGUGAUUUUAAAAAGGAUAAACUAUGUGUUUUAAUUGUAUCAAUUGCUUUGUUUUUUCAAAAACAGAAAUUAGACUAUACUCAUCCUUCUUUCCUUUCUGUAGAGUGAAAUGGUGUCAUUUGAAGUCCCUUAACAUUAGAUUUGAAAUUUAACAAAUCUCACUCUCCCUCUUUUACCAACUGCCAUUUUAAAUUAUGGGCAUUCUGUUCUCACAAUUUACUGUCACAUUUUUUAGAAACACAGAAAACACCAAAAUGUGAAUUUAUAUAGAAAUUGUUAAAAUUACACACCUAGCGUAAAUAGCAAAUAUUCAGUCAACUUUUCACUAUGCUCUUGAAAAGCUAUUACACAUUUGUCAACAAUUUGUUUAGCGUAGCAAUAUGUUAACCUAAACACACUAAAUUCAGCAUCCAUUUCAGGCAGAGAUGAGCCGUCUGAUUUACUCAACACAUUUCUAGUUAGAGAGCAUCACAUGAGACAAAGUGGAAUCGUGCCACAUAUUUGAAUGAAGCCAGAAGCAGCACUUUUUAGGACUCUUAGAUCUGUUUUGUGCAUGAGCUGUUGUUUUUGAAACACUCUCAUGUUUAGUCAUUAAUUUGCAUAAAAUUUUUUCUGUGUUGUAACUUUAAGUGCAGUUUGCAUGCAAGACCAGUAUACCCAAAAACCUUGAAAAAAUGGUGCAGCAACUCUGAAUAUACCUUCAAACCAUUGAACUGUACACUUUAAAUGGGUAAACUAUAUGAUAUAUGAAUUAUUCUCAAUAAAACAAAAAACUAGCACAGUAAACAUUCAUGCUCAGCCUAGACAAUGUGGUGAAACCCUAUCUCUACAAAAUAUACAAAAAUUAGCUGGGCAUGAUGGCGCAUGCCUAUAGUCCAAGCUACUUAGGAGGCUGAGGUGGGAGGAUCACCUGAGCCCAGGGAGGUCAAGGCUGCAGUGAGCUGUCAUCAAGCUACUGCAAUCCAGCCUGGGCAACAGAGUGAGACCCUGUCUCAAAAAAGAAAAAAAAAAAACAUGCUAUUACGGUUUAUAUACAAACUGUUUACUUCUGAGUUAAAUUUUUAAGGGGGCUAGACUUAGCAGAAAGGGAGACAUUGAGACAAGAAUCAGUGUAAACGCUGAGUGGUAGGUGGGGUUGAAAUAUAUCAUGCCCACGGAGAAAGAUUUAAGACCUACAAAAUGACAGGGAGCCAAGGCUACAUUUAGGAUUCAGAGGGUAGAGAAGCCAGUGAAAAACAGAAAACCAAAAAAGACAGAGCAAAAGAGCAAAUGACAGAGCAAAAGAGCAAAUAGAUAAUGACUAAAGACUAACUUGGAUAUUUGCUUUGCUAUCAUAAAGUAAAGGGUUUUAUUCAGUUCCAAAUUUCAGAAAAAAACAAAUAGCUCCACACUUUUCAACUACUGUUAGGAGUAAUAUUCUAAACUCAAAAGUAACUUAAAUCCAUUUUAUCCUAUCUUACCUCACUUUGUGAAAGAGAAACCUUAUAACAAACCACAAUUCUUUUGUUUUUACAAAGGAAAAAAUUAGAAAACAUAAGUUACUUUUCUAGUAGAAAAAGGAAAUAACGAAUACUGAAAUGUGGGAAAUAUGAACGGUAAUGAAUAUAUUUUAAGGUAAAUAUCCAAGGUAUUAUUUGGUCAAUCAGAAACUUAGAAUCUGAAUAAUGCCUAAAGUUUCAACGCUAAACAAGGUAAAUGAAUUAUUCUUUAUUUCCAGUAACAAGACAAGAGAAAAUGAGUGCCUGGGUCUACAAUCAGCAACUGCUGAUUCUGAACUUAAGUGACUUUUUUUUUUUUUUUUCUGAUAAAGGAUGAAGAAAUUUUGAAUAUAAUCUAACAAACCACAUGAAAAUGUUAAACAAUUUUUCCUUUUCAUAUUCCAUCUGAUCCCAGUCAAGAGUAAAGAGAAUAUGAGUCAAGAGAAAAUAAAAUUAAACAUUAAGCAUUUGCUUCUCUGGGUGGAAUGGCUUAAAGCUUUCCCUCCCAAGGUCUAGGAAACUUGCUUUUUUAAAAAAAAAGUUUUCCUAAGGAUUUUUCUACAUUUUAAUGCAAUUUUAGAAAUUUUUUUAGAUUUCCAACAAAUAUAAGAUAAACCGUUUUGGAAAGUAUGAAUAAUUCCAGAAACAGAGACUUUGUUUCUAGGCCAUGAAACUUAAUUUCCUCUUAAUAUUCACUUACCUACAGCCCAAACUCUCCAUGUAUUUUGCCAGAUAUUACUUAUGAGCUACAAACAGGGCAAUUACUUUUUCUGCUUCAUGAGAUUACUCAUACACACACAAAAAAAGCAUUUUAAGGCUGCUGCUGCUGAUUGCAUCUGAGGCCACAGAAGUUACCCUGCGCCUUCCUCUGAAGACACAAAGCAAACUUUCCUUUCUCCUGAUUCGGGUAAUUUCCACCACAGAACAGCUUUUCCAUAGCAGUAAUAAACUAGUUUGGGAAUCUUUGGAAGCCAAACAACAAUAAAAUACAAAAAAUGUAGAUGGCAUAUGGCUGGUGUUAGUCUGUUUUCCCUUCAAGUUCUUCCCGGUUUUUGAUAGCUUCAUAAGGGCCUAAUUGUUGGCAGCACCAAAAUAAAAGAUUUUUAAACUUUAUACUUACUAAGUGCUUUUUGUCAUUUCCUCACCUCUCUAUACAUUCCUACCUGAUCACCAAAUUAUUAUGGAGAUUUGAACAGUGCUUGGC